GGGUUCGUGGUCUAGUGGUUAUGACGUGGCCUUUACAAGGCCGAGAUCAGCGGUUCGAAUCCGCUCGAACCCA
Molecule: transfer RNA, 73 nt
Filed under: halophilic archaeon J07HX64
Lineage: Archaea; Methanobacteriati; Methanobacteriota; Halobacteria; Halobacteriales
Description: tRNA-Val
Rfam family: tRNA
About the family: Transfer RNA (tRNA) molecules are approximately 80 nucleotides in length. Their secondary structure includes four short double-helical elements and three loops (D, anti-codon, and T loops). Further hydrogen bonds mediate the characteristic L-shaped molecular structure. tRNAs have two regions of fundamental functional importance: the anti-codon, which is responsible for specific mRNA codon recognition, and the 3' end, to which the tRNAs corresponding amino acid is attached (by aminoacyl-tRNA synthetases). tRNAs cope with the degeneracy of the genetic code in two manners: having more than one tRNA (with a specific anti-codon) for a particular amino acid; and 'wobble' base-pairing, i.e. permitting non-standard base-pairing at the 3rd anti-codon position.
Source: RNAcentral